RNAcentral lists this ribosomal RNA (405 nucleotides) under uncultured Alphaproteobacteria bacterium. Its description in RNAcentral is "bacterial SSU rRNA". It matches the Rfam family "Bacterial small subunit ribosomal RNA", at positions 355 to 776 of the family's 1533-position model. The record is from RNAcentral. Lineage: Bacteria; Pseudomonadati; Pseudomonadota; Alphaproteobacteria.
UGGGGAAUCUUGCGCAAUGGGCGAAAGCCUGACGCAGCCAUGCCGCGUGAAUGAUGAAGGUCUUAGGAUUGUAAAGUUCUUUAGCCUGUGACGAUGAUGACGGUAACAGGAGAAUAAGCCCCGGCUAACUUCGUGCCAGCAGCCGCGGUAAUACGAAGGGGGCUAGCGUUGUUCGGAAUUACUGGGCGUAAAGCGCGCGUAGGCGGUUUUACAAGCCAGAGGUGAAAUGCCUGAGCUUAACUUGGGAAUUGCCUUUGGAACUGUAUGACUUUGAGGACGAGAGAGGUGAGUGGAAUUCCCAGUGUAGAGGUGAAAUUCGUAGAUAUUGGGAAGAACACCGGUGGCGAAGGCGGCUCACUGGCUCGUUUCUGACGCUGCAGCGCGAAAGCGUGGGGAUCAAACAGG